This is a non-coding RNA of Cajanus cajan (pigeon pea), 384 nucleotides long. The record is from RefSeq and is a predicted model, not a curated record. Lineage: Eukaryota; Viridiplantae; Streptophyta; Magnoliopsida; Fabales; Fabaceae.
UAUGUUCCCUCCCCUUUCAUCAGGAACACAUAGCCUUUCUUAGAAACCUAAUCCCCUUGCUCACUCAUACUUCAUCUCCUUCACUCACGUUCACGCGUCUCCCUGCUCAGGAGUGACGUCUCUGCCCUGCCACUGUGAACAUUGCUCACGGGCACAAGUUCACAGGGUCACAACGACGAGUUCAAGGGCUCAUAGCCUUUGCUUUUCUCUGCCUCUCUUUCGGUUCUUGUUCUCCUCCAUUAGUUGUUGCUCAUUCUUCUCUUUCGUCAAACUCGUGGCAUUUUCCUUAGAACAAGAGUUGAGAAAAAGAGGUUUGAUGGUUCACCUAGGUCCUCAAAAAUUACUGCAUUUUAUGGCUUGAAGACACCUCCUUAUGAACUUGUA